RNAcentral lists this ribosomal RNA (440 nucleotides) under uncultured bacterium. RNAcentral's name for it is "partial 16S ribosomal RNA". It matches the Rfam family "Bacterial small subunit ribosomal RNA", at positions 338 to 795 of the family's 1533-position model. The record is from RNAcentral.
CCUACGGGAGGCAGCAGUGGGGAAUAUUGCACAAUGGGGGAAACCCUGAUGCAGCAACGCCGCGUGAGUGAUGACGGCCUUCGGGUUGUAAAGCACUGUCUUCAGGGACGAUAAUGACGGUACCCGAGGAGGAAGCCACGGCGAACCACGUGCCAGCAGCCGCGGUAAUACGUAGGUGGCGAGCCUUGUCCGGAUUUACUGGGCGUAACGGGGGCGUAGGCGGACUUGUAAGUGAGAUGUGAAAUACUCGGGCUCAACUUGAGUGCUGCAUUUCAAACUGGACGUCUAGAGUGUCGGAGAGGAGAGUGGAAUUCCUAGUGUAGCGGUGAAAUGCGUAGAGAUUAGGAAGAACACCAGUGGCGAAGGCGAUUCUCUGGACUGUAACUGACGCUGAGGCACGAAAGCGUGGGGAGCAAACAGGAUUAGAUACCCUUGUAGUC